AACGAACGCUGGCGGCAUGCCUAACACAUGCAAGUCGAACGAGACCUUCGGGUCUAGUGGCGCACGGGUGCGUAACGCGGGGGAACCUGCCUUUAGGUUCGGAAUACCUCAGUGAAAUUUGAGCUAAUACCGGAUGAUGUCUUCGGACCAAAGAUUUAUCGCCUUUAGAUGGGCCCGCGUUGGAAUCGCUAGUUGGUGGUGUAAAGGCCUACCAAGGCGGGGUUCCAUGGCUGGUUGGAGAGGAUGAGCAGCCACACUGGGGCUAAGACACGGACCAGACUCGGACGCAAGGGAGGAGAGUAUGAUACUGUGCAAGGGAGGAUGACGUGAUCCAGCAAUGCGGGGGAAGAGAUGAAGGCGGUAGUGAAGCGAAGCUCUUUGAGCCGAGGCGAUAGUGACGGUAACGGGAGAAUAAGCACCGGCUAACUCCGUG
Molecule: ribosomal RNA, 433 nt
Filed under: uncultured bacterium
Lineage: Bacteria
Description: partial 16S ribosomal RNA
Rfam family: Bacterial small subunit ribosomal RNA
Source: RNAcentral